This 225-nucleotide ribosomal RNA is filed under the name uncultured Pseudomonas sp. Its description in RNAcentral is "partial 16S ribosomal RNA". It matches the Rfam family "Bacterial small subunit ribosomal RNA", at positions 1158 to 1382 of the family's 1533-position model. The record is from RNAcentral. Lineage: Bacteria; Pseudomonadati; Pseudomonadota; Gammaproteobacteria; Pseudomonadales; Pseudomonadaceae.
GUAAACCGGAGGAAGGUGGGGAUGACGUCAAGUCAUCAUGGCCCUUACGGCCUGGGCUACACACGUGCUACAAUGGUCGGUACAAAGGGUUGCCAAGCCGCGAGGUGGAGCUAAUCCCAUAAAACCGAUCGUAGUCCGGAUCGCAGUCUGCAACUCGACUGCGUGAAGUCGGAAUCGCUAGUAAUCGUGAAUCAGAAUGUCACGGUGAAUACGUUCCCGGGCCUU